AUGGGAGCGUCGCUGAGACGCUCGUCACGGGGGACUCCGCUGUCGAGAAGGGAAACUCGCGGCUUGAGUCACCGGGCGGGCUCCCACCCGAAAGGAGGAGAUGGCUCGGGAGGAAAACGCCACGAAAACGCCACGCUUCAGCCCGGUGCUUUUCAGCCCGUGAGCAGCCAUCGCCAGCAUGAGCCGGCUGCGCCGGGGUUGGCACCCGCAGCCUUAUGCAAGCGUGCGAAGCCGGCUGUGAGGCAGCCGCGCCGUGGCCUGUGUGUUAAAUACAGCAAAACAACCCGGCUCGGCUCUGGCAGGAGAGCGUCUCCCGCUGCUCCACAGCCUGCUGGCUCCGCUCAGCAGUGCCUGGCUUACCGGGGCCCCGCGCCUCUCCGCGUUCCUGGAAAGCAGGAGGAGCUCGUCGUGCUGGGUCACCCGGGGACCACAGCAGUACCCUGCGAAGCCUCCUCGGGGAAGCGCGGACCUGGCUCUCCCCUUGCCCGUCCAGUAGAGCCGCAUAGUCGAGAACCAGUCGGGGCUGGACGUCGGCGUUUACGCUACCCGCAGCGUCCCGUCGAGUUGCACGACUGCCUUCCUCACAGCCAGCGCCACGCACGUAGGGCCGGGGGAGCUGGUGGGAGCUGCCCGGUGCUGUGCUGGAGCCACAACCACCAGAACCCCUCGCUGGAGCAGGGUCCCCACGCCCACCAGCCGUGCUGCCAGCAGAACGGGCAUGGAGCUCUGCCCGGCGAGGCCGUUGGCUGCUCUGGUCUUCACCUCCCCCCAAAUCCGGUCUUGGAUGAAUACACAGCACCAAAUUUCACCUCCUCCUCCUGGAGAGCUGGGCUUCCUGCUCCUUUUUGGGGAAGAUGGUGGUGGGGGAAUUGGCAACUGCUGCUCCCGGAGGGAGCCACGCUUCCUCCUGGAGGUAAUUGUCACUUGGAGGCUCUUAUCCUGGGGUGGCAGCGGCUGAGCCUGGCUGUCCAGGCCCUGCCACGGGCAAGGCGGGCUGCAGCGCCACGGCUCUCCACCUCCCAGCCACCCAAAAGCCUCCUGCCCUCAGGCACAGCCUGCUUUACCCCUGCCUGCAGCAUCUCCUUGUGCUGUGGCUGGGUGAGCGCUGGCCUCCUCGCACCUUGCCUCGGGGAGUUAAACGCCCACGUCGGCCUGCAGCUGAGUCUCUGCUCUCCCUUGUGGAUGCUCUUCACCAGGCAGGGAGGCUCCACCUCCCCCAUCCUUCUCUUUCUUGUCUCUCUCCUCCCGGCUCCACUGGACUCCCCCCUGCACCACUCACCUCCGGUGGGGCUGAUUCCCCCUUUCCCCCCCCGUGGCUUCCCCCGGCCCCGUUUCCCCCACGUGCCCUCGCUGGCUGGCCACAGCCGCCCUCCGUGCAGCCACGCGGUGUUUGCACAAACGUCUGCAUGGCACGGGGCGAUGGGAGCGCGUCCCAGAGCAGCCAGCUCGGCUGGCAGGGGCUCCCCAGCGCUCUCGGUGCUGCUGCAAGAGCCCAAUUAG
Long non-coding RNA from Anser brachyrhynchus (Pink-footed goose), 1500 nucleotides. The record is from Ensembl. NCBI's taxonomy places the organism in Eukaryota, Metazoa, Chordata, Aves, Anseriformes, Anatidae.